GCAAGUCGAACGAACUCUGGUAUUGAUUGGUGCUUGCAUCAUGAUUUACAUUUGAGUGAGUGGCGAACUGGUGAGUAACACGUGGGAAACCUGCCCAGAAGCGGGGGAUAACACCUGGAAACAGAUGCUAAUACCGCAUAACAACUUGGACCGCAUGGUCCGAGUUUGAAAGAUGGCUUCGGCUAUCACUUUUGGAUGGUCCCGCGGCGUAUUAGCUAGAUGGUGAGGUAACGGCUCACCAUGGCAAUGAUACGUAGCCGACCUGAGAGGGUAAUCGGCCACAUUGGGACUGAGACACGGCCCAAACUCCUACGGGAGGCAGCAGUAGGGAAUCUUCCACAAUGGACGAAAGUCUGAUGGAGCAACGCCGCGUGAGUGAAGAAGGGUUUCGGCUCGUAAAACUCUGUUGUUAAAGAAGAACAUAUCUGAGAGUAACUGUUCAGGUAUUGACGGUAUUUAACCAGAAAGCCACGGCUAACUACGUGCCAGCAGCCGCGGUAAUACGUAGGUGGCAAGCGUUGUCCGGAUUUAUUGGGCGUAAAGCGAGCGCAGGCGGUUUUUUAAGUCUGAUGUGAAAGCCUUCGGCUCAACCGAAGAAGUGCAUCGGAAACUGGGAAACUUGAGUGCAGAAGAGGACAGUGGAACUCCAUGUGUAGCGGUGAAAUGCGUAGAUAUAUGGAAGAACACCAGUGGCGAAGGCGGCUGUCUGGUCUGUAACUGACGCUGAGGCUCGAAAGUAUGGGUAGCAAACAGGAUUAGAUACCCUGGUAGUCCAUACCGUAAACGAUGAAUGCUAAGUGUUGGAGGGUUUCCGCCCUUCAGUGCUGCAGCUAACGCAUUAAGCAUUCCGCCUGGGGAGUACGGCCGCAAGGCUGAAACUCAAAGGAAUUGACGGGGGCCCGCACAAGCGGUGGAGCAUGUGGUUUAAUUCGAAGCUACGCGAAGAACCUUACCAGGUCUUGACAUACUAUGCAAAUCUAAGAGAUUAGACGUUCCCUUCGGGGACAUGGAUACAGGUGGUGCAUGGUUGUCGUCAGCUCGUGUCGUGAGAUGUUGGGUUAAGUCCCGCAACGAGCGCAACCCUUAUUAUCAGUUGCCAGCAUUAAGUUGGGCACUCUGGUGAGACUGCCGGUGACAAACCGGAGGAAGGUGGGGAUGACGUCAAAUCAUCAUGCCCCUUAUGACCUGGGCUACACACGUGCUACAAUGGAUGGUACAACGAGUUGCGAACUCGCGAGAGUAAGCUAAUCUCUUAAAGCCAUUCUCAGUUCGGAUUGUAGGCUGCAACUCGCCUACAUGAAGUCGGAAUCGCUAGUAAUCGCGGAUCAGCAUGCCGCGGUGAAUACGUUCCCGGGCCUUGUACACACCGCCCGUCACACCAUGAGAGUUUGUAACACCCAAAGUCGGUGGGGUAACCUUUUAGGAACCAG
RNAcentral lists this ribosomal RNA (1430 nucleotides) under Lactiplantibacillus plantarum. RNAcentral describes it as "bacterial SSU rRNA". It matches the Rfam family "Bacterial small subunit ribosomal RNA". Lineage: Bacteria; Bacillati; Bacillota; Bacilli; Lactobacillales; Lactobacillaceae. The record is from RNAcentral.